AGUACGGCGAGUGAAGCGGUAAAAGCUCAAAUUUGAAAUCUGGUACUUUCAGUGCCCGAGUUGUAAUUUGUAGAAUUUGUCUUUGAUUAGGUCCUUGUCUAUGUUCCUUGGAACAGGACGUCAUAGAGGGUGAGAAUCCCGUUUGGCGAGGAUACCUUUUCUCUGUAAGACUUUUUCGAAGAGUCGAGUUGUUUGGGAAUGCAGCUCAAAGUGGGUGGUAAAUUCCAUCUAAAGCUAAAUAUUGGCGAGAGACCGAUAGCGAACAAGUACAGUGAUGGAAAGAUGAAAAGAACUUUGAAAAGAGAGUGAAAAAGUACGUGAAAUUGUUGAAAGGGAAGGGCAUUUGAUCAGACAUGGUGUUUUUUGCAUGCACUCGCCUCUCGUGGGCUUGGGCCUCUCAAAAAUUUCACUGGGCCAACAUCAAUUCUGGCAGUAGGAUAAAUCAUUAAGAAUGUAGCUACCUCGGUAGUGUUAUAGCUUAUUGGAAUACUGCUAGCUGGGAUUGAGGACUGCGCUUCGGCAAGGAUGUUGGCAUAAUGGUUAAAUGCCGCCCGUCUUGAAACACGGACCA
This 571-nucleotide ribosomal RNA is filed under the name Hanseniaspora opuntiae. Its description in RNAcentral is "partial large subunit ribosomal RNA". It matches the Rfam family "Eukaryotic large subunit ribosomal RNA", at positions 82 to 668 of the family's 3401-position model. The record is from RNAcentral. Lineage: Eukaryota; Fungi; Ascomycota; Saccharomycetes; Saccharomycodales; Saccharomycodaceae.